UAGAGUUACAAACUCCAAACCACUGUGAACAUACCUAUGUUGCUUCGGCGGGUUCCCGGUCGUCCGCGGCCGCCCCGCCGGAGGUAUCAAACUCUGAUUUCUAGCGAAUCUUCUGAGUCUUACAAUAAGCAAUCA
Molecule: unclassified non-coding RNA, 135 nt
Filed under: uncultured fungus
Lineage: Eukaryota; Fungi
Description: sequence contains ITS1, 5.8S rRNA gene
Source: RNAcentral